RNAcentral lists this ribosomal RNA (475 nucleotides) under uncultured bacterium. RNAcentral describes it as "partial 16S ribosomal RNA". It matches the Rfam family "Bacterial small subunit ribosomal RNA", at positions 29 to 523 of the family's 1533-position model. The record is from RNAcentral.
AAUGAACGUUGGCGGCGUGGAUUAGGCAUGCAAGUCGCGCGGACCAGCAAUGGUUAGCGGCGAAAGGGAGAGUAACGCGUGGGUUAUCUGCCUCUUGGGCCAGGAUAGCCGCGGGAAACUGCAGGUAAUACUGGAUAAUGUCUUCGGACCAAAGGUGUGAUUCCGCCGGGAGAUGAGCCCGCGUCCUAUUAGCUAGUUGGUGAGGUAAUGGCUCACCAAGGCGUAGAUGGGUAGGGGGUGUGAGAGCACGACCCCCCUCACUGGGACUGAGACACUGCCCAGACACCUACGGGUGGCUGCAGUCGAGGAUCUUCGGCAAUGGGCAAAAGCCUGACCGAGCGACGCCGCGUGUGGGAUGAAGGCCUUCGGGUUGUAAACCACUGUCGUAGAGGAGGAAAUUCUGGGGGGUUCUCCCCUCAGUUUGACCUAUUCUAGGAGGAAGUCAGGGCUAAGUUCGUGCCAGCCGCCGCCGUAA